RNAcentral lists this long non-coding RNA (482 nucleotides) under Capra hircus (goat). RNAcentral's name for it is "lncRNA (ENSCHIG00010007081.1)". The record is from RNAcentral. Lineage: Eukaryota; Metazoa; Chordata; Mammalia; Artiodactyla; Bovidae.
GUGAAUCGUGAACACAUCUGCCCAGGGCCUGUCUUCAUCCUUCUCCAGGGAAUCACAACUUCUCCAGUCUUAUCUGAGGAUAGCUCAGUGGUUUGUGGAGGGCAGAGUUUGAGACAGACAAAAAGAAUAAUGGAAUCUGCUUGGGGGAAACUCCAGGAAUCUUUGGAGAGACUAAAGGGGGAACAGCAGAAAGUUGAGAUGCUGGAAGAUGAAAUUCAAGAAGAGAUUUCUACCUGGAAGGUGUGAGGAGAUGCUUCUUGAAGGAGUUAGACAUCUGGGCAAGACUUUGGAUUGGUCACAAGGAACUGCCUUUCUCUUUGUUCCCUGAUAGCUGUGUCAUUUGACUUGUAUUUUUCUUUGUCCUUUCCCUGAUAGGAAUGAGUGCUGAAAAGUGAAUAUAUCACAAAUGAACACAGAUAGCGGAAGGGAGGUAUUCAUACAGAGGGACUCUCUUGUGAGGAUGAUUAGGGAAUUGCAUAUCC